GGUGGGUUGGCUUGUCAGGUUGAUUCCGGUAACGAACGAGACCUCAGCCUGCUAAAUAGUCACGUCUGGUUCGCCAGACGGCAGACUUCUUAGAGGGACUAUUAGCGACUAUCAGCUAAUUGAAGUAUGAGGCAAUAACAGGUCUGUGAUGCCCUUAGAUGUUCUGGGCCGCACGCGCGCUACACUGACGCGUUCAACGAGCCUCCUGGUCACGAGAGGACCGGGUAAUCUUGUAAACCGCGUCGUGAUGGGGCUAGAGCUUUGUAAUUAUUGCUCUUUAACGAGGAAUGCCUAGUAAGCGCGAGUCAUCAACUCGCGU
Molecule: ribosomal RNA, 319 nt
Filed under: Trentepohlia sp. TreFl163
Lineage: Eukaryota; Viridiplantae; Chlorophyta; Ulvophyceae; Trentepohliales; Trentepohliaceae
Description: SSU rRNA
Rfam family: Eukaryotic small subunit ribosomal RNA
Source: RNAcentral